RNAcentral lists this ribosomal RNA (2707 nucleotides) under Staphylococcus aureus. Its description in RNAcentral is "partial 23S ribosomal RNA". It matches the Rfam family "Bacterial large subunit ribosomal RNA". The record is from RNAcentral. Lineage: Bacteria; Bacillati; Bacillota; Bacilli; Caryophanales; Staphylococcaceae.
GAAACAUCUUAGUACCCGGAGGAAGAGAAAGAAAAUUCGAUUCCCUUAGUAGCGGCGAGCGAAACGGGAAGAGCCCAAACCAACAAGCUUGCUUGUUGGGGUUGUAGGACACUCUAUACGGAGUUACAAAGGACGACAUUAGACGAAUCAUCUGGAAAGAUGAAUCAAAGAAGGUAAUAAUCCUGUAGUCGAAAAUGUUGUCUCUCUUGAGUGGAUCCUGAGUACGACGGAGCACGUGAAAUUCCGUCGGAAUCUGGGAGGACCAUCUCCUAAGGCUAAAUACUCUCUAGUGACCGAUAGUGAACCAGUACCGUGAGGGAAAGGUGAAAAGCACCCCGGAAGGGGAGUGAAAUAGAACCUGAAACCGUGUGCUUACAAGUAGUCAGAGCCCGUUAAUGGGUGAUGGCGUGCCUUUUGUAGAAUGAACCGGCGAGUUACGAUUUGAUGCAAGGUUAAGCAGUAAAUGUGGAGCCGUAGCGAAAGCGAGUCUGAAUAGGGCGUUUAGUAUUUGGUCGUAGACCCGAAACCAGGUGAUCUACCCUUGGUCAGGUUGAAGUUCAGGUAACACUGAAUGGAGGACCGAACCGACUUACGUUGAAAAGUGAGCGGAUGAACUGAGGGUAGCGGAGAAAUUCCAAUCGAACCUGGAGAUAGCUGGUUCUCUCCGAAAUAGCUUUAGGGCUAGCCUCAAGUGAUGAUUAUUGGAGGUAGAGCACUGUUUGGACGAGGGGCCCCUCUCGGGUUACCGAAUUCAGACAAACUCCGAAUGCCAAUUAAUUUAACUUGGGAGUCAGAACAUGGGUGAUAAGGUCCGUGUUCGAAAGGGAAACAGCCCAGACCACCAGCUAAGGUCCCAAAAUAUAUGUUAAGUGGAAAAGGAUGUGGCGUUGCCCAGACAACUAGGAUGUUGGCUUAGAAGCAGCCAUCAUUUAAAGAGUGCGUAAUAGCUCACUAGUCGAGUGACACUGCGCCGAAAAUGUACCGGGGCUAAACAUAUUACCGAAGCUGUGGAUUGUCCUUUGGACAAUGGUAGGAGAGCGUUCUAAGGGCGUUGAAGCAUGAUCGUAAGGACAUGUGGAGCGCUUAGAAGUGAGAAUGCCGGUGUGAGUAGCGAAAGACGGGUGAGAAUCCCGUCCACCGAUUGACUAAGGUUUCCAGAGGAAGGCUCGUCCGCUCUGGGUUAGUCGGGUCCUAAGCUGAGGCCGACAGGCGUAGGCGAUGGAUAACAGGUUGAUAUUCCUGUACCACCUAUAAUCGUUUUAAUCGAUGGGGGGACGCAGUAGGAUAGGCGAAGCGUGCGAUUGGAUUGCACGUCUAAGCAGUAAGGCUGAGUAUUAGGCAAAUCCGGUACUCGUUAAGGCUGAGCUGUGAUGGGGAGAAGACAUUGAGUCUUCGAGUCGUUGAUUUCACACUGCCGAGAAAAGCCUCUAGAUAGAAAAUAGGUGCCCGUACCGCAAACCGACACAGGUAGUCAAGAUGAGAAUUCUAAGGUGAGCGAGCGAACUCUCGUUAAGGAACUCGGCAAAAUGACCCCGUAACUUCGGGAGAAGGGGUGCUCUUUAGGGUUAACGCCCAGAAGAGCCGCAGUGAAUAGGCCCAAGCGACUGUUUAUCAAAAACACAGGUCUCUGCUAAACCGUAAGGUGAUGUAUAGGGGCUGACGCCUGCCCGGUGCUGGAAGGUUAAGAGGAGUGGUUAGCUUCUGCGAAGCUACGAAUCGAAGCCCCAGUAAACGGCGGCCGUAACUAUAACGGUCCUAAGGUAGCGAAAUUCCUUGUCGGGUAAGUUCCGACCCGCACGAAAGGCGUAACGAUUUGGGCACUGUCUCAACGAGAGACUCGGUGAAAUCAUAGUACCUGUGAAGAUGCAGGUUACCCGCGACAGGACGGAAAGACCCCGUGGAGCUUUACUGUAGCCUGAUAUUGAAAUUCGGCACAGCUUGUACAGGAUAGGUAGGAGCCUUUGAAACGUGAGCGCUAGCUUACGUGGAGGCGCUGGUGGGAUACUACCCUAGCUGUGUUGGCUUUCUAACCCGCACCACUUAUCGUGGUGGGAGACAGUGUCAGGCGGGCAGUUUGACUGGGGCGGUCGCCUCCUAAAAGGUAACGGAGGCGCUCAAAGGUUCCCUCAGAAUGGUUGGAAAUCAUUCAUAGAGUGUAAAGGCAUAAGGGAGCUUGACUGCGAGACCUACAAGUCGAGCAGGGUCGAAAGACGGACUUAGUGAUCCGGUGGUUCCGCAUGGAAGGGCCAUCGCUCAACGGAUAAAAGCUACCCCGGGGAUAACAGGCUUAUCUCCCCCAAGAGUUCACAUCGACGGGGAGGUUUGGCACCUCGAUGUCGGCUCAUCGCAUCCUGGGGCUGUAGUCGGUCCCAAGGGUUGGGCUGUUCGCCCAUUAAAGCGGUACGCGAGCUGGGUUCAGAACGUCGUGAGACAGUUCGGUCCCUAUCCGUCGUGGGCGUAGGAAAUUUGAGAGGAGCUGUCCUUAGUACGAGAGGACCGGGAUGGACAUACCUCUGGUGUACCAGUUGUCGUGCCAACGGCAUAGCUGGGUAGCUAUGUGUGGACGGGAUAAGUGCUGAAAGCAUCUAAGCAUGAAGCCCCCCUCAAGAUGAGAUUUCCCAACUUCGGUUAUAAGAUCCCUCAAAGAUGAUGAGGUUAAUAGGUUCGAGGUGGAAGCAUGGUGACAUGUGGAGCUGACGAAUACUAA